CUUAACUGCAAAAACACUGAGACAGCGAAGAGCUGGGGAAAGGAGGAACAUGUGAAAAAGAAAGGAAGACCACUCUUCCCAGUUUCUGGCCAAUGGGAUGAGGGAAGAAGUGAUGGGCAUCAGUUACAGAACUCAUUCACACCUUCAAUGGUUUUGGAAGCCACAUGCUCCAGAUGGCAGAGCUACCCUGGAAAGAAGGUUGCAUCUGAGUCACCACGUGGAGAUCAACUUUGUACAUGUGAAACAUAAAUGUUUACUGUGUUGGGCCACUGAGAUGUUUAGCUGUUUGUUUCACCAGCUAGCCUUAAUUAUCCUAAUACAAGGAGACAGACAAGCAAAAACAUCUUUCAGAGUAUGUCAUGGAAUCCAUAUAUAUUCAAUCAAUUUUUCCAGUAUUCAUCAUAAGUUUUCUAAGGCAAAGUCUCUGAAUAGCCAGCCAUAGAUGUUAUUUCUAGCUUCAGGAUUGGUAUAUUUGAGUGGAUUUUAACUCUUUUGGAGUUUAACUAAGAACACAUUCCAUUCUCAUAAACUAGACUAUGUGAAUAAGCCAGUGGUUUUCAUUUCUCAGGUGGGGAGGUUGGCUCCUAGGGGACAUAGAACAAUGUCUGGAGUCAUUUUUGUCUGUCACAGCCUGGGGUGAGGUGCUAGUGGUAUCUGAGGGUAGGGGCUACACGUCCGACGAUAUACAGGACAGCCUCCAUCAGCAAACAACUAUCCAGACAAAAAUGUCAACAGUGCCAUUGGACAAACCCUGAACAAAUCAA
RNAcentral lists this long non-coding RNA (764 nucleotides) under Homo sapiens (human). RNAcentral describes it as "HSALNT0401869". Lineage: Eukaryota; Metazoa; Chordata; Mammalia; Primates; Hominidae. The record is from RNAcentral.